GAUUUGCCCUUAGAGUUUGAUCCUGGCUCAGGACGAACGCUGGCGGCGUGCUUAACACAUGCAAGUCGAACGAGAAUCACCGGAAAAGAGGAUUCGUCCAAUGGAAGGUGAGGAAAGUGGCGGACGGGUGAGUAACGCGUGAGGAACCUGCCUUGGAGAGGGGGACAACAGCUGGAAACGGCUGCUAAUACCGCAUAACAUAUCUGAAUCGCAUGGUUUGGAUAUCAAAGAUUUAUCGCUCUGAGAUGGCCUCGCGUCUGAUUAGCUGGUUGGCGGGGUAACGGCCCACCAAGGCGACGAUCAGUAGCCGGACUGAGAGGUUGAACGGCCACAUUGGGACUGAGAUACGGCCCAGACUCCUACGGGAGGCAGCAGUGGGGAAUAUUGGGCAAUGGGCGCAAGCCUGACCCAGCAACGCCGCGUGAAGGAAGAAGGCUUUCGGGUUGUAAACUUCUUUUAAGGGGGAAGAGGAGAAGACGGUACCCCUAGAAUAAGCCACGGCUAACUACGUGCCAGCAGCCGCGGUAAUACGUAGGUGGCAAGCGUUGUCCGGAUUUACUGGGUGUAAAGGGCGUGUAGCCGGGUCUGCAAGUCAGAUGUGAAAUCCAUGGGCUUAACCCAUGAACUGCAUUUGAAACUGUGGAUCUUGAGUGCUGGAGGGGCAAUCGGAAUUCCUAGUGUAGCGGUGAAAUGCGUAGAUAUUAGGAGGAACACCAGUGGCGAAGGCGGAUUGCUGGACAGUAACUGACGGUGAGGCGCGAAAGUGUGGGGAGCAAACAGGAUUAGAUACCCUGGUAGUCCACACUGUAAACGAUGAAUACUAGGUGUGCGGGGACUGACCCCCUGCGUGCCGCAGUAAACACAAUAAGUAUCC
Molecule: ribosomal RNA, 874 nt
Filed under: uncultured bacterium
Lineage: Bacteria
Description: bacterial SSU rRNA
Rfam family: Bacterial small subunit ribosomal RNA
Source: RNAcentral